RNAcentral lists this ribosomal RNA (521 nucleotides) under uncultured microorganism. RNAcentral describes it as "bacterial SSU rRNA". It matches the Rfam family "Bacterial small subunit ribosomal RNA", at positions 9 to 524 of the family's 1533-position model. The record is from RNAcentral.
GAGUUUGAUCGUGGCUCAGGAUGAACGCUGGCGGCGUGCCUAACACAUGCAAGUCGAACGGAUCCAUAUUGAAACCUAGUGAUGUAUGGAUUAGUGGCGGACGGGUGAGUAACGCGUGGAUAACCUGCCGUAUACAGGGGGAUAACACUUAGAAAUAGGUGCUAAUACCGCAUAAGCGCACGGUUCCGCAUGGAACAGUGUGAAAAACUCCGGUGGUAUACGAUGGAUCCGCGUCUGAUUAGCCAGUUGGCGGGGUAACGGCCCACCAAAGCGACGAUCAGUAGCCGGCCUGAGAGGGUGAACGGCCACAUUGGGACUGAGACACGGCCCAAGCUCCUACGGGAGGCAGCAGUGGGGAAUAUUGCACAAUGGGGGAAACCCUGAUGCAGCGACGCCGCGUGAGUGAAGAAGUAUUUCGGUACGUAAAGCUCUAUCAGCAGGGAAGAAAAAAAGUACCUUUGGACUUUGGACGGUACCUGACCAAGAAGCCCGGCUAACUACGUGCCAGCAGCCGCAGUAAC